CUCUUUGGCGCAGUAGGCAGCGUGUCAGUCUCAAAAGCUGAAGGUCCCGAGUUAGAUCCUCGGAAAGAGA
Molecule: transfer RNA, 70 nt
Filed under: Monodelphis domestica (gray short-tailed opossum)
Lineage: Eukaryota; Metazoa; Chordata; Mammalia; Didelphimorphia; Didelphidae
Rfam family: tRNA
About the family: Transfer RNA (tRNA) molecules are approximately 80 nucleotides in length. Their secondary structure includes four short double-helical elements and three loops (D, anti-codon, and T loops).
Source: Rfam by way of RNAcentral